This 206-nucleotide unclassified non-coding RNA is filed under the name Hevea brasiliensis (rubber tree). Lineage: Eukaryota; Viridiplantae; Streptophyta; Magnoliopsida; Malpighiales; Euphorbiaceae. The record is from RNAcentral.
UCUUCAUUUUCUAGUUUGUAACUUCUGUACUCUGCUAUCUGCAUUUCAUGUUUGGAUGAAACAUUUUUUGGGGAUUCAGUCGUCUCAUUCUCUGGAAUUGAAUCCAGCAUGCCCUUCCUAAUAUGCUUCUUGCAAUGACUAAGCUGAAAAGUCUUGGUUAAUAUGAUGGGUGUUCCAGAGAAGCACCCUGUAACAUAAACCUCAAU